Molecule: transfer RNA, 70 nt
Filed under: Delturus parahybae
Lineage: Eukaryota; Metazoa; Chordata; Actinopteri; Siluriformes; Loricariidae
Description: tRNA-His
Rfam family: tRNA
About the family: Transfer RNA (tRNA) molecules are approximately 80 nucleotides in length. Their secondary structure includes four short double-helical elements and three loops (D, anti-codon, and T loops). Further hydrogen bonds mediate the characteristic L-shaped molecular structure. tRNAs have two regions of fundamental functional importance: the anti-codon, which is responsible for specific mRNA codon recognition, and the 3' end, to which the tRNAs corresponding amino acid is attached (by aminoacyl-tRNA synthetases). tRNAs cope with the degeneracy of the genetic code in two manners: having more than one tRNA (with a specific anti-codon) for a particular amino acid; and 'wobble' base-pairing, i.e. permitting non-standard base-pairing at the 3rd anti-codon position.
Source: RNAcentral
GUAGAUAUAGUUUCAACCAAAACAUUAGAUUGUGGUUCUAAAAACAGAGGUUAAAAUCCUCUUAUCCACC